Molecule: ribosomal RNA, 401 nt
Filed under: uncultured bacterium
Lineage: Bacteria
Description: bacterial SSU rRNA
Rfam family: Bacterial small subunit ribosomal RNA
Source: RNAcentral
UGGGGAAUUUUGGACAAUGGGCGCAAGCCUGAUCCAGCCAUGCCGCGUGAGUGAAGAAGGCCUUCGGGUUGUAAAGCUCUGUCUUCAGGGACGAUAAUGACGGUACCUGAGGAGGAAGCCACGGCUAACUACGUGCCAGCAGCCGCGGUAAUACGUAGGUGGCAAGCGUUGUCCGGAUUUACUGGGCGUAAAGGGAGCGUAGGCGGACUUUUAAGUGAGAUGUGAAAUACCCGGGCUCAACCUGGGUGCUGCAUUUCAAACUGGAAGUCUAGGGUGCAGGAGAGGAGAGUGGAAUUCCUAGUGUAGCGGUGAAAUGCGUAGAGAUUAGGAAGAACACCAGUGGCGAAGGCGACUCUCUGGACUGUAACUGACGCUGAGGCUCGAAAGCGUGGGGAGCAGAC